CUACGGGUUGCUCCAGUGGGGAGUAUUGCACAAUGGGCGCAAGCCUGAUGCAGCCAUGCCGCGUGUAUGAAGAAGGCCUUCGGGUUGUAAAGUACUUUCAGCGGGGAGGAAGGGAGUAAAGUUAAUACCUUUGCUCAUUGACGUUACCCGCAGAAGAAGCACCGGCUAACUCCGUGCCAGCAGCCGCGGUAAUACGGAGAGUGCAAGCGUUAAUCGGAAUUACUGGGCGUAAAGCGCACGCAGGCGGUUUGUUAAGUCAGAUGUGAAAUCCCCGGGCUCAACCUGGGAACUGCAUCUGAUACUGGCAAGCUUGAGUCUCGUAGAGGGGGGUAGAAUUCCAGGUGUAGCGGUGAAAUGCGUAGAGAUCUGGAGGAAUACCGGUGGCGAAGACGGCCCCCUGGACGAAGACUGACGCUCAGGUGCGAAAGCGUGGGGAGCAAACAGGAUUAGAUACCCGAGUAGUC
RNAcentral lists this ribosomal RNA (464 nucleotides) under uncultured bacterium. RNAcentral describes it as "partial 16S ribosomal RNA". It matches the Rfam family "Bacterial small subunit ribosomal RNA", at positions 339 to 795 of the family's 1533-position model. The record is from RNAcentral.